This 457-nucleotide ribosomal RNA is filed under the name uncultured bacterium. RNAcentral describes it as "bacterial SSU rRNA". It matches the Rfam family "Bacterial small subunit ribosomal RNA", at positions 28 to 491 of the family's 1533-position model. The record is from RNAcentral.
GAUGAACGCUGGCGGCGUGCUUAACACAUGCAAGUCGAACGGGAUCGGCUGGAGCUUGCUCCGGCCGUGAGAGUGGCGAACGGGUGAGUAAUGCGUGACCGACCUGCCCCAUACACCGGAAUAGCUCCUGGAAACGGGUGGUAAUGCCGGAUGCUCCAGUUGACCGCAUGGUCCUCUGGGAAAGCUUUUGCGGUAUGGGAUGGGGUCGCGUCCUAUCAGCUUGAUGGCGGGGUAACGGCCCACCAUGGCUUCGACGGGUAGCCGGCCUGAGAGGGCGACCGGCCACAUUGGGACUGAGAUACGGCCCAGACUCCUACGGGAGGCAGCAGUGGGGAAUAUUGCACAAUGGGCGCAAGCCUGAUGCAGCGACGCCGCGUGCGGGAUGACGGCCUUCGGGUUGUAAACCGCUUUUGACUGGGAGCAAGCCCUUCGGGGUGAGUGUACCUUUCGAAUAAGC